CAACUUUUGACAAUGGAUCUCUUGGUUCUCGCAACGAUGAAGAACGCAGCAAAAUGCGAUAAGUAGUGUGAAUUGCAGAAUACGUGAACCAUCGAAUCUUCGAACGCAUAUUG
Molecule: ribosomal RNA, 113 nt
Filed under: uncultured Anaeromyces
Lineage: Eukaryota; Fungi; Neocallimastigomycota; Neocallimastigomycetes; Neocallimastigales; Neocallimastigaceae
Description: partial 5.8S ribosomal RNA
Rfam family: 5.8S ribosomal RNA
About the family: 5.8S ribosomal RNA (5.8S rRNA) is a component of the large subunit of the eukaryotic ribosome. It is transcribed by RNA polymerase I as part of the 45S precursor that also contains 18S and 28S rRNA.
Source: RNAcentral